RNAcentral lists this ribosomal RNA (253 nucleotides) under uncultured bacterium. Its description in RNAcentral is "partial 16S ribosomal RNA". It matches the Rfam family "Bacterial small subunit ribosomal RNA", at positions 524 to 776 of the family's 1533-position model. The record is from RNAcentral.
UACGUAGGCAGCGAGCGUUGUUCGGAGUUACUGGGCGUAAAGGGUGUGUAGGCGGUUCUUUAAGUUUGGUGUGAAAUCUCCCGGCUCAACCGGGAGGGUGCGCCGAAUACUGAGGGACUAGAGUACGGGAGAGGAAAGUGGAAUUCCUGGUGUAGCGGUGAAAUGCGUAGAUAUCAGGAGGAACACCGGUGGCGAAGGCGGCAUCCUGGACCGGCAUUGACGCUGAGGCGCGAAAGCCAGGGGAGCAAACGGG